This 1503-nucleotide ribosomal RNA is filed under the name Microcaldota archaeon. Its description in RNAcentral is "bacterial SSU rRNA". It matches the Rfam family "Archaeal small subunit ribosomal RNA". Lineage: Archaea; Nanobdellati; Microcaldota. The record is from RNAcentral.
AGAUUCCAGUUGAUCCUGCUGGAGGGUACUGCUAUCGGAGUCCGACUAAGGCAUGCAAGUCUACGCUACCCCUAGGUAGCGUGGCGGACGGCUGAGUAAGACGUAGACAACCUACCCUGAGGACGGGGACAACCACGGGAAACUGUGGAUAAUCCCCGAUAGGAGAUAGAUACUGGGAUGUUCUAUCUCCCAAAGGCCCUUGGGGAAUGGCUCAAGGGCGCCUCAGGAUGGGUCUGCGGGGGAUUAUGGUAGUUGGUGAGGUAACGGCUCACCAAGCCGAUAAUCCCUAGGGGCUAUGGAAGUAGGAGCCCCCAGAAGGGCACUGAGACAAGGGCCCUAGCCCUACGGGGUGCAGCAGCCGCGAAACCUCCGCAAUGCGCGCAAGCGUGACGGGGGGACUCCGAGUGGUAUAGGUCUAAGCCUAUACCUUUUCCCGAGUGUAAAAAGCUCGGGGAAUAAGGGUGUGGGCAAGACCGGUGGCAGCCGCCGCGGUAACACCGGCGCCUCAAGUGGUACCCACGAUUAUUGGGCUUAAAGCGCCCGUAGCCGGCCGGGUGUUUGCACUGUGAAAUGCUGGGGCUUAACUCCAGCGCGCGCAGUGUAUACUACCCGGCUAGAGAGCGGAGGAGGGAGAGGGUACGUCCAGGCUAGCGGUAAAAUGCGUUGAACCUGGAUGGACCACCAGUGGCGAAGGCGCUCUCCCAAGACGCGUCUGACGGUGAGGGGCGAAAGCUAGGGGAGCAAAAGGGAUUAGAUACCCCUGUAGUCCUAGCCGUAAAUGAUGCCCACUGCUUCUUGCUAAGGCUCUGUGCCUUAGCAGGGGGUAAGCGAAAGCGUUAAGUGGGCCGCCUGGGGAGUACGGCCGCAAGGCUAAAACUUAAAGGAAUUGGCGGGGGAGUACCACAAGGGGUGGAUGCUACGGCUUAAUCGGAUACAACGCCGAGAACCUCACCCGGAGAGACAGCUGGAUGAGGCCUUAGCUGAAGACUAAGGCCGACUAGCUGAGAGGUGUUGCAUGGCCAUCGUCAGCUCGUGGUGCAAAUUGUCCGGUUAAGUCCGGCAACGAGCGAGAUCCACGCCCUUAGUUGCUAACCCUACCUCCGGGUAGGGUGCACACUAAGGGGACUGCCCGCGUUAAGUGGGAGGAAGGAGUGGGCGACGGUAGGUCCGUAUGGCCCGAAUCUCCGGGGCUGCACGCGGCAUACAAUGGGCAGGACAACGGGCCGCGACUCCGAGAGGAGGAGCUAAUCCUUAAACCUGCCCUUAGUUCGGAUCGAGGGUUGCAACUCACCCUCGUGAAGCUGGAAUCCCUAGUAAUCGCGGGUCAUCAUCCCGCGGUGAAUAUGUCCCUGCUCCUUGCACACACCGCCCGUCAAGUCAGCCAAGCGCGGCUGGGGUGAGGGUCUCUCGGGCAACCGGGAGAUUCGAACCCUGGCUGCGUGAGGGGGGCUAAGUCGUAACAAGGUAUCCGUAGGGGAACCUGCGGAUAGAUCACCUCAAAUU